Molecule: ribosomal RNA, 238 nt
Filed under: uncultured bacterium
Lineage: Bacteria
Description: partial 16S ribosomal RNA
Rfam family: Bacterial small subunit ribosomal RNA
Source: RNAcentral
CGGCGGACGGGUGAGUAACGCGUGGGUAACCUACCCUGUACACACAGAUAACAUACCGAAAGGUAUGCUAAUACGGGAUAAUAUAUUUGAGAGGCAUCUCUUGAAUAUCAAAGGUGAGCCAGUACAGGAUGGACCCGCGUCUGAUUAGCUAGUUGGUAAGGUAACGGCUUACCAAGGCGACGAUCAGUAGCCGACCUGGGAGGGUGAUCGGCCACAUUGGAACUGAGACACGGUCCAA